UGAACCAUGAUCGCCAUCCGGCCUUGGUA
This 29-nucleotide small RNA is filed under the name Bombyx mori (domestic silkworm). RNAcentral's name for it is "ovarian small RNA-7925". The record is from RNAcentral. Lineage: Eukaryota; Metazoa; Arthropoda; Insecta; Lepidoptera; Bombycidae.